Long non-coding RNA from Zalophus californianus (California sea lion), 286 nucleotides. RefSeq lists it as uncharacterized. The record is from RefSeq and is a predicted model, not a curated record. The transcript is spliced from 3 exons. Lineage: Eukaryota; Metazoa; Chordata; Mammalia; Carnivora; Otariidae.
GCUUCCAGCGGGGUUGGAAGCAUCAGCUUGACGCUAUUGACUGCUUUGGGAUUUUUCUAGAUGACGUCAUAAUAAUAGCUCUCUUCCUAUGAUCCUAAAAAUAACAAGCAUCGAUAGCCAUUAGAGCAGCAAACUGAGGAAGAAGGAAGUUCAAAGCAAUUUGCCUGCAAUUCCAUUUUUAGGACGCGGUAGAGGUGGGUGGAAUCCGGAUCCUAGGUCCCUCACCCCCACAGAGAGAGAUUGUGUGCAGAGCCGACUCCCUCAGACUGGCGACUCCAGGUAGGAG